GACGAACGCUGGUUGCGUGCUUAACACAUGCAAGUCGAACGGAAAGGCCCUGCUUUUGUGGGGUGCUCGAGUGGCGAACGGGUGAGUAACACGUGAGUAACCUGCCCUUGACUUUGGGAUAACUUCAGGAAACUGGGGCUAAUACCGGAUAGGAGCUCCUGCUGCAUGGUGGGGGUUGGAAAGUUUCGGCGGUUGGGGAUGGACUCGCGGCUUAUCAGCUUGUUGGUGGGGUAGUGGCUUACCAAGGCUUUGACGGGUAGCCGGCCUGAGAGGGUGACCGGCCACAUUGGGACUGAGAUACGGCCCAGACUCCUACGGGAGGCAGCAGUGGGGAAUAUUGCACAAUGGGCGGAAGCCUGAUGCAGCAACGCCGCGUGCGGGAUGACGGCCUUCGGGUUGUAAACCGCUUUCGCCUGUGACGAAGCGUGAGUGACGGUAAUGGGUAAAGAAGCACCGGCUAACUACGUGCCAGCAGCCGCGGUGAUACGUAGGGUGCGAGCGUUGUCCGGAUUUAUUGGGCGUAAAGGGCUCGUAGGUGGUUGAUCGCGUCGGAAGUGUAAUCUUGGGGCUUAACCCUGAGCGUGCUUUCGAUACGGGUUGACUUGAGGAAGGUAGGGGAGAAUGGAAUUCCUGGUGGAGCGGUGGAAUGCGCAGAUAUCAGGAGGAACACCAGUGGCGAAGGCGGUUCUCUGGGCCUUUCCUGACGCUGAGGAGCGAAAGCGUGGGGAGCGAACAGGCUUAGAUACCCUGGUAGUCCACGCUGUAAACGGUGGGUACUAGGUGUGGGGUCCAUUCCACGGGUUCCGUGCCGUAGCUAACGCUUUAAGUACCCCGCCUGGGGAGUACGGCCGCAAGGCUAAAACUCAAAGGAAUUGACGGGGCCCCGCACAAGCGGCGGAGCAUGCGGAUUAAUUCGAUGCAACGCGUAGAACCUUACCUGGGUUUGACAUGGAUCGGGAGUGCUCAGAGAUGGGUGUGCCUCUUUUGGGGUCGGUUCACAGGUGGUGCAUGGCUGUCGUCAGCUCGUGUCGUGAGAUGUUGGGUUAAGUCCCGCAACGAGCGCAACCCUUGUUCACUGUUGCCAGCACGUUAUGGUGGGGACUCAGUGGAGACCGCCGGGGUCAACUCGGAGGAAGGUGGGGAUGACGUCAAGUCAUCAUGCCCCUUAUGUCCAGGGCUUCACGCAUGCUACAAUGGCUGGUACAGAGAGUGGCGAGCCUGUGAGGGUGAGCGAAUCUCGGAAAGUCGGUCUCAGUUCGGAUUGGGGUCUGCAACUCGACCUCAUGAAGUCGGAGUCGCUAGUAAUCGCAGAUCAGCAACGCUGCGGUGAAUACGUUCCCGGGGCC
This 1346-nucleotide ribosomal RNA is filed under the name uncultured bacterium. Its description in RNAcentral is "partial 16S ribosomal RNA". It matches the Rfam family "Bacterial small subunit ribosomal RNA", at positions 28 to 1381 of the family's 1533-position model. The record is from RNAcentral.